GGACUACCGGGGUUUCUAAUCCUGUUUGCUCCCCACGCUUUCGCACCUCAGCGUCAGUAUCGGCCCAGGUCUCCGCCUUCGCCACUGGUGUUCCUCCCGAUAUCUACGAAUUUCACCUCUACACCGGGAAUUCCGAGACCCUCUUCCGUACUCAAGCCUUUCAGUUUCGAAUGCACUUCCUCGGUUGAGCCGAGGGCUUUCACACCCGACUUAAAAGACCGCCUACGUGCGCUUUACGCCCAAUGAUUCCGAGCAACGUUUGCACCCUCCGUAUUACCGCGGCGGCUGGCAC
Molecule: ribosomal RNA, 292 nt
Filed under: uncultured bacterium
Lineage: Bacteria
Description: partial 16S ribosomal RNA
Source: RNAcentral